This 593-nucleotide ribosomal RNA is filed under the name uncultured bacterium. RNAcentral's name for it is "bacterial SSU rRNA". It matches the Rfam family "Bacterial small subunit ribosomal RNA", at positions 338 to 916 of the family's 1533-position model. The record is from RNAcentral.
CCUACGGGAGGCAGCAGUGGGGAAUUUUGGACAAUGGGCGCAAGCCUGAUCCAGCCAUGCCGCGUGUGGGAAGAAGGCCUUCGGGUUGUAAACCACUUUUGUCAGGGAAGAAACGGCUUUUUCUAAUACAGAGAGCUAAUGACGGUACCUGAAGAAUAAGCACCGGCUAACUACGUGCCAGCAGCCGCGGUAAUACGUAGGGUGCAAGCGUUAAUCGGAAUUACUGGGCGUAAAGCGUGCGCAGGCGGCUUUGCAAGACAGAUGUGAAAUCCCCGGGCUCAACCUGGGAACUGCAUUUGUGACUGCAUGGCUAGAGUACGGUAGAGGGGGGAUGGAAUUCCGCGUGUAGCAGUGAAAUGCGUAGAUAUGCGGAGGAACACCGAUGGCGAAGGCAAUCCCCUGGACCUGUACUGACGCUCAUGCACGAAAGCGUAGGGGAGCAAACAGGAUUAGAUACCCUGGUAGUCCACGCCCUAAACGAUAGUCAACUGGUUGUUGGACGGCUGCUGUUCNGUAACGAGCUAACGCGUGAAGUUGACCGCCGUGGGGUAGUACGGCCGNGAAGGUUGAAACGUUCGAAGUUGAGUUGACGG